RNAcentral lists this ribosomal RNA (395 nucleotides) under uncultured ammonia-oxidizing bacterium. Its description in RNAcentral is "bacterial SSU rRNA". It matches the Rfam family "Bacterial small subunit ribosomal RNA", at positions 215 to 602 of the family's 1533-position model. The record is from RNAcentral.
GCGCUUUUGGAGCGGCUGAUGUCUGAUUAGCUAGUUGGUGAGGUAAAGGCUUACCAAGGCGUCGAUCAGUAGCUGGUCUGAGAGGACGACCAGUCACACUGGGACUGAGACACGGCCCAGACUCCUACGGGAGGCAGCAGUGGGGAAUUUUGGACAAUGGGGGAAACCCUGAUCCAGCCAUGCCGCGUGAGUGAAGAAGGCCUUCGGGUUGUAAAGCUCUUUCAGCCGGAACGAAACGGUCACGGCUAAUACCCGUGACAACUGACGGUACCGGAAGAAGAAGCACCGGCUAACUACGUGCCAGCAGCCGCGGUAAUACGUAGGGUGCGAGCGUUAAUCGGAAUUACUGGGCGUAAAGCGUGCGCAGGCGGUUUUGUAAGUCAGAUGUGAAAUCC